AUUGAACGCUGGCGGCAGGCCUAACACAUGCAAGUCGAACGGUAGCACAGAGAGCUUGCUCUCGGGUGACGAGUGGCGGACGGGUGAGUAAUGUCUGGGAAACUGCCCGAUGAAGGGGGAUAACUACUGGAAACGGUAGCUAAUACCGCAUAACGUCGCAAGACCAAAGUGGGGGACCUUCGGGCCUCACACCAUCGGAUGUGCCCAGAUGGGAUUAGCUAGUAGGUGGGGUAAUGGCUCACCUAGGCGACGAUCCCUAGCUGGUCUGAGAGGGUGACCAGCCACACUGGAACUGAGACACGGGCCAGACUCCUACGGGAGGCAGCAGUGGGGAAUAUUGCACAAUGGGCGCAAGCCUGAUGCAGCCAUGCCGCGUGUAUGAAGAAGGCCUUCGGGUUGUAAAGUACUUUCAGCGGGGAGGAAGGCGGUGAAGUUAAUAACUUCACCGAUUGACGUUACCCGCAGAAGAAGCACCGGCUAACUCCGUGCCAGCCGCCGCGGUAA
This 504-nucleotide ribosomal RNA is filed under the name uncultured bacterium. RNAcentral's name for it is "partial 16S ribosomal RNA". It matches the Rfam family "Bacterial small subunit ribosomal RNA", at positions 30 to 523 of the family's 1533-position model. The record is from RNAcentral.